This 469-nucleotide ribosomal RNA is filed under the name Filifactor alocis. RNAcentral's name for it is "bacterial SSU rRNA". It matches the Rfam family "Bacterial small subunit ribosomal RNA", at positions 9 to 459 of the family's 1533-position model. Lineage: Bacteria; Bacillati; Bacillota; Clostridia; Peptostreptococcales; Filifactoraceae. The record is from RNAcentral.
GAGUUUGAUUAUGGCUCAGGAUGAACGCUGGCGGCGUGCUUAACACAUGCAAGUCGAACGAACGACUAUUAACAGAACCUUUCGGGGCGAAGAUGAUAGAAGUUAGUGGCGGACGGGUGCGUAACGCGUGGGUAAUCUGCCUUUGUCAAAGGAAUAACUAUUCGAAAGAAUAGCUAAAACCGUAUAAAAUAUUAAUAGGGCAUCCUAAUGAUAUCAAAACGAUAGUGGACAAAGAUGAGCCCGCGUCUGAUUAGCUAGUUGGUGAGAUAAAAGCCCACCAAGGCAACGAUCAGUAGCCGACCUGAGAGGGUGAACGGCCACAUUGGAACUGAGACACGGUCCAAACUCCUACGGGAGGCAGCAGUGGGGAAUAUUGCACAAUGGGGGGAACCCUGAUGCAGCAACGCCGCGUGAGUGAAGAAGGCAUUCGUGUCGUAAAACUCUGUAGUAGGGGAAGAAAGAAAUGACA